UGUUACCACUGAUUGUGGCCUCUGCCCAUU
Molecule: non-coding RNA, 30 nt
Filed under: Mus musculus (house mouse)
Lineage: Eukaryota; Metazoa; Chordata; Mammalia; Rodentia; Muridae
Source: RNAcentral